This is a long non-coding RNA of Scatophagus argus, 1554 nucleotides long. RefSeq lists it as uncharacterized. The record is from RefSeq and is a predicted model, not a curated record. Lineage: Eukaryota; Metazoa; Chordata; Actinopteri; Scatophagidae. The transcript is spliced from 5 exons.
GAGGGGCGGCACAAUGCGCCCCUUCACCUGCAUCUUCCUCUUCCUCUGUUUCCCUCCGGUGGCUACCUGUUUUGCGUGAGCAUCGUGGUUGAGUGGCGUGGCCGUUGCGGGUGCACGAUCCUCUUCAUUCAGGGCGACCGGCUCCCGAGGCCGUGGGGGACGCAUCGCUUCACAGGGGACCCUUCCUGGGUGGUGCUGUGGCCCUGAGGCAGCAGUCCAGUCCCUGAUGGUGGUUUCCUUCACGAUUUCCUUUCUUUGCAGUUGCAGUGUCACGGCUGUUUAAUUAAUGGACCUUUCUACUUUUGGUUUGUCCCUGCCGCCUGAGUGGGGCGUAAUCUUCUGGUUUUUUGCCUGACCGGCUCUACUGCGUGGUUGAAUCCCAUUGCCUCAUUCAACUCCAGCCCAAGACUGCAGUAUAUGAAAAUCGGCACAUUCAUCCACUCUGUGCCAGAUUGUACGGUCCAGCUCCUGGUAGUUGUGUCAAGCAUGAUGUGCCAAGCUAAACUUCCUGUACUCAAACAGAGAUUGGAUGGGGUGCUCUGAAGCGUGUUUGACACUGGAGAAAGGCUCAUUCCGAGUGGACAUGUGCUGGUUUCACAUGAGGUGCUGCUGCCUAUCUACAAGGUCAGGCAUUAGCACCAGUUUAUGGCUCUGCCAAACUGCAAACUCAAAGACUCCAAAGCCAGGAGAAACUGAGGACCCUGAGCAGAUGGAAUGGUAGAGGACAAAGACAACAAAGCAUCUCAUAGCGGAUUCACUAUUAAUAACACACUUUAUUGGUAAUUUAUAUGUUGUUUGCCCAUUGCACUUACCAGGCUAACACAUGCAGUUGCAUUAUUGAAUCAGUUUACAAAAACAGUACUAGCAUAUUUACCACCAAGUAUUUUUUUAAAGUAUGAUUUCCGACAGAGGUCAAAACAGGCUUCCAUUUUCCCAUGUGAAAUGACAUGGUCAGGAACAAAUUCAUUAGCUUGAGCUAGCUGCUAAUGCCUGUUGUUUCUGGCUGAACACUAUAAAAGCCAGGUUCUUAAAAUAAGAGCUUGAAGGCUGCAUGGGCCUACAUAAUAUUGUGCUAAGAUGAGGUUAAAGAUACAUGUACCAGGCAUUCUAGUGAGUUAUACUCUGAUAGUAACAUUUAGCCAAUAAUUAUCUACUGCUCUACUGCAGUAGUUGCGGUAGUUAACAAAGCAAUCCAUUCCUUACUCUUUUGCUCUUGUUUUUGGAAAGGAUCAAAAAAUGAACAUACACAAACACAUUUCAUUGCUUCAGGUUGAUUAAGAUGUUGCUUAACUGUGUUAAUUCCACUUAAUUUGAAGUUAAACUACUAUAGUUUGUGCUACCAGCAAAGUGAUAACAGGACAUUAAUAUUUAAUGAUGACAAAAUGAAAAAGUUGUGGUCACCUGCCCCCUGUUCUCCCAGCGCUCUAAAUGUCUUUUAUUAUCUGUGCGAAUUAGAAAGAAUUGCCAAGAUAGCCGUUGUGUGUAAUAUUGUUUAUUUGAUGCAUUACUAGUCUAAAACACAACAUGCGGAUCCAUUAAAGCCUAUGAAUGAAA